Molecule: transfer RNA, 72 nt
Filed under: Stegodyphus mimosarum
Lineage: Eukaryota; Metazoa; Arthropoda; Arachnida; Araneae; Eresidae
Rfam family: tRNA
About the family: Transfer RNA (tRNA) molecules are approximately 80 nucleotides in length. Their secondary structure includes four short double-helical elements and three loops (D, anti-codon, and T loops).
Source: Rfam by way of RNAcentral
GCGUUCAUGGUGUAAUAGUCAACACGCUCGGCUCCUAAUCAAGAGGUCCAGGUUCAAGUCCCGGCGAGUAUC